AGACCCCUGGCUGGGAGGUAUCUCGGGAUCACGAAGGCGGGACCUCCGUGGUGAGGUUUGGCCAUUGAACUUUCGGUCAGGCUGACCCAUGUGGCAGUCCCAUGUUGGGAUUGGCCAGCAGCAUAAUUUUUACGC
Molecule: small nuclear RNA, 135 nt
Filed under: Toxocara canis (dog roundworm)
Lineage: Eukaryota; Metazoa; Nematoda; Chromadorea; Rhabditida; Toxocaridae
Description: U1 spliceosomal RNA
Rfam family: U1 spliceosomal RNA
About the family: U1 is a small nuclear RNA (snRNA) component of the spliceosome (involved in pre-mRNA splicing). Its 5' end forms complementary base pairs with the 5' splice junction, thus defining the 5' donor site of an intron.
Source: Rfam by way of RNAcentral